This 46-nucleotide ribosomal RNA is filed under the name Phellodon melaleucus. RNAcentral describes it as "partial 28S ribosomal RNA". Lineage: Eukaryota; Fungi; Basidiomycota; Agaricomycetes; Thelephorales; Thelephoraceae. The record is from RNAcentral.
UUGACAAAUCGACCUCAAAUCAGGUAGGACUACCCGCUGAACUUAA